GUAAAACUUGACUCGGUAAUGGAGAAGGUCUGCUAGCUAUGCUUUGAGCUUGCUGGAAUUGCAGAAUUGUGGAUGCGUGCUUGACAGGAUCCAGAGUCCUAAAUUCCUGUAGUGCUGCAGCAGCCAUUGCUUGAUAGGCAUCGGGUUGUAGACCGAUCAUUGAGUUAUCGAGUCUCUGUUGAAGCCAAGGAUUGACUCCACCGCCCUGGAAAUUUAAUGACUGAAGGGGGUUGACACCGUCACGAAGCCACAUGAAUGGAGAGUUCAGGCCCAUAUCAUCGCUUCCACCAUACAAAGACGGCAA
This 304-nucleotide unclassified non-coding RNA is filed under the name Hevea brasiliensis (rubber tree). The record is from RNAcentral. Lineage: Eukaryota; Viridiplantae; Streptophyta; Magnoliopsida; Malpighiales; Euphorbiaceae.